CCUAUAGAAACCUCGCCAGGUGUACAGAGCUCUAGGCAAAGCAAUGACAUCAAUGACGCAAAUGACCAAGUUGAUGCCGAUUCAGAGGGUCAUACAAUUGAAGGAGAACCAGUUGGUGACUUUGUUCCUGCGCCCCGAAAGGAAGUCCGCAAGAAAACCAUAGGGCUUGGCUUAGAGAAGAUGAUAAAGAGAGGAAACAAGCUGCCUAUCCAAGUGGCUGAAGGGAAGAAAAGACCUGAUGUCCCACUUCAAGCAGCGAAGCUGGCAUCAGAAACUGGUGUAGCUCUUAGAGACAAGCUGCCUAUCUACACAUCUUGGAAGCUUUAUGAAAAAGAUGGGGGGCCAGUAGAAGUACAAAAAGUGCUUGAUAAAGUGGCGAAUAGGUUGGAUGUGGAUGUUAAGAAUGAUGGACCAAGCAAAUCUGCAUGCACUGAUAUCAUUAAGAAGGGAGUAAAGUAGCAGAGGUAUCACCUAAAAAGGAAGUACUUCGACGAGUCCCUCACAAUGGAACAGCUGUUGGCCAAAGAACCUCCACCUAAAAUGAAGACAGAGGAGUGGAUCGAGCUCGUAAAGUACUGGUGUGACCCAAAGAAUCAGGAGAAAUCUGCGAAGAAUAAAGUAAACCGAUCCAAGGUGCAGCUUCACCAAAAAACUGGUUCUAGGUCCUACAUAGCCUAUCGAUACAGCCUGGUAAUACUAUUGCUUUCACUUUGGGGCACUUUUGGGGUGCUUUUCGGUUGUAUGUUCAACAUCUUUAAGCUCCUGUUAUGUUGCAAAGGAAAAUGUAGUUCAUGGCUAUUUGUAGUGUUUUUCCUCUACUGAAUAGCUAUUUGUAGUGUUUUUCCUUUUGGAAUUUAUUUGCACAGGGAAACUGAGAAAGAUGGAUGAAAAGGGCAAGGCUCUUUCUGAUACUAAA
This is a long non-coding RNA of Panicum hallii, 916 nucleotides long. RefSeq lists it as uncharacterized. Lineage: Eukaryota; Viridiplantae; Streptophyta; Magnoliopsida; Poales; Poaceae. The record is from RefSeq and is a predicted model, not a curated record. The transcript has 4 exons.